UUGAACGCUGGCGGCAGGCCUAACACAUGCAAGUCGAACGGUAACAGGAAGAAGCUUGCUUCUUUGCUGACGAGUGGCGGACGGGUGAGUAAUGUCUGGGAAACUGCCUGAUGGAGGGGGAUAACUACUGGAAACGGUAGCUAAUACCGCAUAACGUCGCAAGACCAAAGAGGGGGACCUUCGGGCCUCUUGCCAUCGGAUGUGCCCAGAUGGGAUUAGCUUGUUGGUGGGGUAACGGCUCACCAAGGCGACGAUCCCUAGCUGGUCUGAGAGGAUGACCAGCCACACUGGAACUGAGACACGGUCCAGACUCCUACGGGAGGCAGCAGUGGGGAAUAUUGCACAAUGGGCGCAAGCCUGAUGCAGCCAUGCCGCGUGUAUGAAGAAGGCCUUCGGGUUGUAAAGUACUUUCAGCGGGGAGGAAGGGAGUAAAGUUAAUACCUUUGCUCAUUGACGUUACCCGCAGAAGAAGCACCGGCUAACUCCGUG
This 489-nucleotide ribosomal RNA is filed under the name uncultured bacterium. RNAcentral describes it as "partial 16S ribosomal RNA". It matches the Rfam family "Bacterial small subunit ribosomal RNA", at positions 30 to 507 of the family's 1533-position model. The record is from RNAcentral.